AGGACUUCUGAAUACAAAAAACAAUGGCCAGGUCUAGCGCUGGAUGGUGAACUGGAUUUCUGGUUUUGAUAGUUUUCACUCUGAAUGAUAAGCACGUGAUAUGUCCUUUAGAAAUGCUGAUGGAUCAGUGAGAUAGAAUCCAUUUUGUACACUGCUACUUUUUCACUCCCACUUCACUAUCAAAUCUCUAUGUAUGGGUGCCACUAAGAAGGGUCCUGGAUUCCUCUGAGGCUAAACAGUUUAUUUUAUUAUUACUAUAUAGUAGCAUAUGUGUGCCUGGUGCUUUACAGAUAAGUAAGAAGACAAGGUCCUUGCCCUGAUGAGUUUAGGAUCUAUCUUACAGAGACAAAACAACAAAACUGAUGAUAUUUCUGGAGAUAGAGUGGGGUCACCUGACAACGUAGUUGUCCCUUGAUAAAUUUGCAAGAGAAUGAUUCCACUCUGUGGCGAGCCCCGCUAUAUCUCUAGAAUAAUUAUUGAGCAUACCCAGGGGAGUGGGCAGUUUGCUUUGGCAUGUUGCCUUACCACUAGUUAUUUAAUAUUAGCUCAUCUCCAGUCCUGAUAUAUGGUAUGUGCGGGUUUUUUCAGUUCUGGGGCCACUGUUUGUUUUUAAAAUGGGGAGUGAAAACUGGCUUUUCUGAACAAUACUUGUAAGAACUUGUGCUAACAUCCUGCUAUUCUGAUGUUUUCCAUAUGGGGGCAUGAGUGUACCUGGACACUGCAACUACAGCACCAGCAGUGUAAUUCAGUCCUAAUGACUUUGGAGGGCUCUACGAAUCUAGACAGGAGAUGCCACUGAGAUCAAGUGGAGUCCCUCACACGAAGGGAAAGCAGAAUAUGGGAGCUGAAUACCUCCAAUCCUCAGGGUCAGCCCUUCAGGAACUUCUCCCUGCCUGAGACAGGAAAUGACCUGAGACAAUGCAGAUCAGGGAAUAAUCGUCAGAUGACCUUGGCAAGAUAUACCCAAGAACUUCGGCUUUAAUUAUUUUUGAAAACAUGAAUGCUCUGUAACAAUGGUUAUGAGAUCCCUGGAAUAUCUUUUAUGAAGUUCACAUUUUAAAUAGUCCUUGGGUAUGAAAUUUUAAAACUUAUACAUCUAUGUAUUGAACUGUGCUUUCUUAAAAUAGAAAACUGGCAUGUUUGUAUUUUGUUUCAGGUUACCAAGGGCUUCAUAAAUAAAAAGACUAAGAAUCAA
Molecule: long non-coding RNA, 1195 nt
Organism: Mauremys reevesii (Reeves's turtle)
Lineage: Eukaryota; Metazoa; Chordata; Testudines; Geoemydidae
Exons: 4
Source: RefSeq, a predicted model, not a curated record